GGGGUUGUGGCUCAGUGGUAGAGCUCUCGCUUAGCAUGUGCAAGGCCCUGAGUUCGAUCCUCAGCACCA
This is a non-coding RNA of Ictidomys tridecemlineatus (thirteen-lined ground squirrel), 69 nucleotides long. Lineage: Eukaryota; Metazoa; Chordata; Mammalia; Rodentia; Sciuridae. The record is from Rfam.